Molecule: ribosomal RNA, 497 nt
Filed under: uncultured bacterium
Lineage: Bacteria
Description: partial 16S ribosomal RNA
Rfam family: Bacterial small subunit ribosomal RNA
Source: RNAcentral
GAUGAACGCUGGCGGCGUGCCUAAUACAUGCAAGUCGAGCGAACAGACGAGGAGCUUGCUCCUUUGACGUUAGCGGCGGACGGGUGAGUAACACGUGGGUAACCUACCUAUAAGACUGGUGUAACUUCGGGAAACCGGAGCUAAUACCGGAUAAUAUUUUGAACUGCAUGGUUCGAUAGUUAAAGAUGGUUUUGCUAUCACUUAUAGAUGGACCUGCGCCGUAUUAGCUAGUUGGUAAGGUACCGGCUUACCAAGGCAACGAUACGUAGCCGAGCUGAGAGGGUGGUCGCACACGCUAGAAGUGAGACACAGUACUAGAUCCAACUGGAGGCAGCAGAAGGGACUGAAGCGCCAUGGGCGAAAACCGUACAGCGCCAAGACGCGUGAGGCAUGAGCGUCUACGGUUGGUAAAAGUCCGUUAUUAGGGAAGAAGAAGAGUAUAGGGAACUGUACACGGUUUGACGGUAGCAGAUCAGAAAGCAACGGCUAACUACGUG